GGGGAAUAUUGCGCAAUGGGGGAAACCCUGACGCAGCAAUACCGCGUGAGUGAAGAAGGUUUUCGGAUCGUAAAGCUCUGUUAUUGGGGAAGAAAAAAAGACGGUACCCAAGAAGAAAGUCCCGGCUAACUACGUGCCAGCAGCCGCGGUAAUACGUAGGGGACAAGCGUUGUCCGGAUUUACUGGGCGUAAAGGGCACGCAGGGCGGUUUUUUAAGUCAGAUGUGAAAGGUACCGGCUCAACCGGUAACAUGCAUUUGAAACGAAAGACUUGGGUGAUUGGGGAGCAAAUGGAAUUCCCAGUGUAGCGGGGAAAUGCGGAGAUAAUAAGGGGGACCCCGGGUGGCGAGGCGGGUUGCUGGGAAAAUACUGACGGUGGGGGGCGAAAACGUUGGGAGCAAACA
RNAcentral lists this ribosomal RNA (403 nucleotides) under uncultured Acetobacterium sp. RNAcentral's name for it is "partial 16S ribosomal RNA". It matches the Rfam family "Bacterial small subunit ribosomal RNA", at positions 356 to 774 of the family's 1533-position model. The record is from RNAcentral. Lineage: Bacteria; Bacillati; Bacillota; Clostridia; Eubacteriales; Eubacteriaceae.